Molecule: ribosomal RNA, 517 nt
Filed under: uncultured bacterium
Lineage: Bacteria
Description: bacterial SSU rRNA
Rfam family: Bacterial small subunit ribosomal RNA
Source: RNAcentral
AGAACUUAGCAGAGAUGCUUUGGUGCCUUCGGGAACUCUGAGACAGGUGCUGCAUGGCUGUCGUCAGCUCGUGUUGUGAAAUGUUGGGUUAAGUCCCGCAACGAGCGCAGCCCUUAUCCUUUGUUGCCAGCGGCUCGGCCGGGAACUCAAAGGAGACUGCCGGUGAUAAACCGGAGGAAGGUGGGGAUGACGUCAAGUCAUCAUGGCCCUUACGGCCAGGGCUACACACGUGCUACAAUGGCGCAUACAAAGAGAAGCGACCUCGCGAGAGCAAGCGGACCUCACAAAGUGCGUCGUAGUCCGGAUUGGAGUCUGCAACUCGACUCCAUGAAGUCGGAAUCGCUAGUAAUCGUAGAUCAGAAUGCUACGGUGAAUACGUUCCCGGGCCUUGUACACACCGCCCGUCACACCAUGGGAGUGGGUUGCAAAAGAAGUAGGUAGCUUAACCUUCGGGAGGGCGCUUACCACUUUGUGAUUCAUGACUGGGGUGAAGUCGUAACAAGGUAGGCGUAGCGAG